This 1997-nucleotide ribosomal RNA is filed under the name gut metagenome. RNAcentral describes it as "bacterial LSU rRNA". It matches the Rfam family "Bacterial large subunit ribosomal RNA", at positions 1 to 2014 of the family's 2925-position model. The record is from RNAcentral.
AAAAGUAAGUAAGGGCGCAUGGCGGAUGCCUUGGCUCUCGGAGGCGAUGAAGGACGUGAUAAGCUGCGAUAAGCUGCGGGUAGGUGCAAAUGACCUUUGAUCCGCGGAUUUCCGAAUGGGACAACCCAAUAUCUUGAAGAGAUAUUAUCCAUCUUUUGAUGGAGGCGAACGCAGGGAACUGAAACAUCUUAGUACCUGUAGGAAUAGAAAAUAAAUAAUGAUUCCCCUAGUAGUGGCGAGCGAACGGGGAAUAGCCCAAACCAUAUGUGUUACGGCAUGUAUGGGGUUGUAGGACCACGUCAUGGGACGACAGUUAGUGAGUAGAAUGAUCUGGAAAGUUCAGUCAUAGACGGUGAUAACCCGGUAUACGAAGCUAAUUUAACCCUAGUGGUAUCCUGAGUAGCGCGGGACACGAGGAAUCUUGCGUGAAUCUGCCGGGACCAUCCGGUAAGGCUAAAUACUCCCGAGAGACCGAUAGCGAACCAGUACUGUGAAGGAAAGGUGAAAAGCACUUCGAACAGAAGAGUGAAAUAGUCCCUGAAACCAUGCGCCUACAAGCGGUCGGAGCAGUGUAAACUGUGACGGCGUGCCUUUUGCAUAAUGAACCUACGAGUUACUUUUUCCGGCAAGGUUAAGGGUCUUGAGACCUGCAGCCGAAGCGAAAGCGAGUCUUAAUAGGGCGGAUAGUCGGAAGGAGUAGACGCGAAACCAAGUGAUCUACCCUUGGCCAGGUUGAAGGACAGGUAACACUGUCUGGAGGACCGAACCGAUAAGCGUUGAAAAGCUUCCGGAUGAGCUGAGGGUGGGGGUGAAAGGCUAAUCAAACUUGGAGAUAGCUCGUACUCCCCGAAAUGCAUUUAGGUGCAGCCUUGAUUUAUACUAAUAUGAGGUAGAGCGACUGAUAAGAUGCGAGGGCUUCGCCGCCUAUCAAGUCUUGACAAACUCCGAAUGCGUAUUAGUUCUAUAUCAGGAGUGAGGGCAUGGGUGCUAAGGUCCAUGUCCUAAAGGAGAACAAUCCGGACCAUCAGCUAAGGUCCCCAAAUAAUUGCUAAGUUGAUCUAACGAAGUCAGAUUGCUAAGACAGCUAGGAUGUUGGCUUGGAAGCAGCCAUUCAUUUAAAGAGUGCGUAACAGCUCACUAGUCGAGGAGUUUGGCGUGGAUAAUAAUCGGGCAUAAGCAAUUUACCGAAGCUAUGGGAUGUGCAAACAUCGGUAGGGGAGCAUUCCACUCUGCGUUGAAGGUGAAGCGUAAGCUUUGCUGGAGCGUGUGGAAAAGCAAAUGUAGGUAUAAGUAACGAUAAAGGGGGUGAGAAACCCCCUCGCCGAAAGACUAAGGUUUCCUGAUCAACGCUAAUCGGAUCAGGGUUAGUCGGGUCCUAAGGCUCAGCCGAACGGUGAGGCCGAUGGCAGAACAGGUUAAUAUUCCUGUACUACCUUAAAGAGUGACGUGGAGACGGAGGCGUGACAGUGCCGCGGACUGACGGAAUAGUCCGUUGAAGGGUGUAGAUGUUGAUCGGGGUAGGCAAAUCCGCCCCGAGAGUCGAACCUGAUAGUAUGGAGCGUUCUUCGGAACAAUCCAAUAGCGCAUGUAAACAUACUCCCAAGAAAAUCCGCUAAACUUAAUCUUUAAGGUACCCGUACCGUAAACGGACACACGUGGUCGGGUAGAAUAUACUAAGGCGCUUGAGUGAUUCACGGUUAAGGAACUAGGCAAAUUGACCCUGUAACUUCGGGAUAAAGGGUCCCCACUGCGAGGUGGGGCGCAGAGAAUCGGUCCAGGCAACUGUUUAACAAAAACACAGGGCUAUGCCAAAUUGAAAGAUGAAGUAUAUAGCCUGACACCUGCCCGGUGCUGGAAGGUUAAGAGGAGAUGUCAUCGCAAGAGAAGCAUUGAAUUGAAGCCCCAGUAAACGGCGGCCGUAACUAUAACGGUCCUAAGGUAGCGAAAUUCCUUGUCGGGUAAGUUCCGACCUGCACGAAUGGUGUAAUGAUCUGGAC